GACGUUCUCGCGGGACAGCGUCUCGCGCCUCGCCCUCUUGGGGCGCGGGAGCUUGACACGGUGCGCGGGGUUCUUGGGGAGGAGGUCCCAGUCCACCGCCUGUUCAUCGCCUUGGAGAGACAGACGUGGAGGUG
Molecule: unclassified non-coding RNA, 134 nt
Filed under: plant metagenome
Description: partial contains 5.8S ribosomal RNA, internal transcribed spacer 2, and large subunit ribosomal RNA
Source: RNAcentral